AGGCUGUUCCCGCUGUCAACAGUGCGCAGGAUCCCUUUUCUUCUGGGCUCCUGAGUAUUAAGGAAAAACUGAUCGACGUGUGCAGGCGCUGAAGGAACAGAACCGGCCGUGAGAAAGUGACACGGGAGCAUUUGGAGGAGUGGAUCAUCAAGCGUAUCACUGGAGGAUGAUGAAAUAUUAAUUAGUGUACUCUGUUAGGAGACACCCAAACUGCACCUAAGCUUCUCAGUAUGAAUAACAAACAUCUCUGUACAAAAGUGUAGAAAAUAGUGGAUCUGUAAAGAUCAUCAUCUUCCUUUGGUUUAAAUGGACUCUAAUGCCACAGUGUAUGAGAGGAGAUAUGUUACAUGCACUCACUCGUAUGGACACGAAUGUUAAUUUUGAGCUGUUAAUAAUUUCUUUGAACAGUUCUUUGUUCCAGGGUGGAAAAAUACAGCAUAGAUUUUUGAUGACUUCAGAGUUGUGUCAACACAGGGUCAAAAGUAUAAAUACAGUCAAAUAACUUAUUAGUGGUACUGAAGGUUCUAUAAUGUCUUUUAACUUGACAAGUCAAGACCUAUUAACUUCUCGUUAGUGAACAUGUUUCACUAGAACAGGCAGUUUCUUUUGAAAAAAUUCAAAUUCAACUAAAUUUGCAGCUGCUCAUGUAGACAUGUUUCUAUGUGAGCAGCUGCAGUGAUGAUGACUAAUCUACUUCUCCAAAUGUCUUCUGGAGAAACGGUUAAUUAUCAGACAAGACAAAAAUUGAACUAUUUGGUCACAAUGACGGGGUAAGUUUGGACGAGUAAAGAUGAGUACCAGCGUACCAAAUUUCAUGCAUGGAGGUGGUAGCAUCGUGCUCAGGGGGUGUUUUGCAGCCAGUGGUACUGGUACAUUGCACAAAUUGAAUAAAAUAAUGAAAAAAAACUCCCUCCAAAUUCUUUAACUUUAUCUCAACUCAGCAGCUAGAUGGUUGAAACUUGGACAAAUUAGUGUUCCAGCGGGAUAAUGAUUCUAAACACAUCAAAACUUGUUUUAGAAUAAAGUAGGCUAUCACUGAGCUUCUGAAAUGGCCUUACCAAUGCCCAGACUUCAACUCUAUUGAACAUUUGUGGACUAGACUUAAAAGGCAGAUCUGUGCCAAGAAACCAAUCAAUUUAAAUGAACUCUACAAAUUCUGUCAAGGAAAGUACUCAAAUGUCCAACCACAAUUAUAGAAGAAACUUGUUGAUGGCUACCAGAAGCAUGUGGUUAACGUGUGACUUGCUGAGGGACAUUUAGCCAAAUAUUAGUGGGGCUUUAUGUAUAUAUUUGACCUGCAUGUGUGCAUACAUGCAUAGAAAGUAUGAAAUAAAUGUCAUCUGGCGCCCAAAAUAUAAAUAAUUAAAGAUGUAUAGUGUACAAUCAUUACAUGCUGGAAAAAGAAAAGUUCAAAGAAAUCAUUAAAUCCACAAAAUUAACAAAAUUGACAUCCAUGCCCAUGAUGAGUGUAUGUAAACGUCUGAUUACAAUUUAUGAGGCUGACUGAUUAAAAAUUCAGUGGUUAUCUCUCAGGACCAACAGUCUCAGAUAAUCCUGGGAUGAAUGAGCACACCAGUACUUUACAAAGGCUUUGAAUAACCACUUUACAGUCUUGCUUGUACCUCAGCAGAUAGUGGAAAUAGACUUUACACUCUUCCUUGAUGAUGCCUGUUUGACAAUUGAUCUUUAGCCCCGGUCACCUUCUUUCACAGUGACAAAUAAGAACAGAGAAACAAAAGGAAGAAGAAGACGGUGCAGGGUCAGAAAUAUCUCAGCAGUUGAACUGAAUGUGCACUUUCCUUGGACUUUUUCCUCACAAGUUGCUGACACAGCAGGAUAUCAGUAGGAACAUGGCGAUGUACUGUACAGUUAGCCUUCGGGGAACAAUGUGCUCAGUGAGAGGCACGGCCGCACAAGCUGUGGACGGCCUGAGCAGGUGUGGGCUGGAGGGGUUAAGGGGGUUAAUGACAA
Molecule: long non-coding RNA, 1971 nt
Organism: Haplochromis burtoni (Burton's mouthbrooder)
Lineage: Eukaryota; Metazoa; Chordata; Actinopteri; Cichliformes; Cichlidae
Exons: 3
Source: RefSeq, a predicted model, not a curated record